This 339-nucleotide ribosomal RNA is filed under the name Supella longipalpa (brown-banded cockroach). RNAcentral describes it as "partial 16S ribosomal RNA". The stretch from base 1 to 137 matches the Rfam family "Archaeal large subunit ribosomal RNA", at positions 2006 to 2143 of the family's 2987-position model. The record is from RNAcentral. Lineage: Eukaryota; Metazoa; Arthropoda; Insecta; Blattodea; Ectobiidae.
GGCCGCGGUAAUUUGACCGUGCAAAGGUAGCAUAAUCAUUAGUCUUUUAAUUGUUGGCUGGAAUGAAUGGCUUGACGAGAUAUUUACUGUCUUUUUAUAUUAAUCUUAGAAUUUAAUUAUUUAGUGAUAAGGCUAAAAUGUUAUUAUGGGACGAGAAGACCCUAUAGAAUUUUAUUAUUAUAUUUUAUUGUUGUUUAUAAUUAUAAAUAGGUUAUAAUAAUUAUAUUGGGGUGAUAGGGAUAUAUAAAUAACUUUCCUUUAAGUAUACAUAUUGAUAUAUAUAUAUAUGAUCCUUUUUUUUGAUUAUAAGAUUUAAUUACCUUAGGGAUAACAGCGUAA